This 464-nucleotide ribosomal RNA is filed under the name uncultured bacterium. RNAcentral describes it as "partial 16S ribosomal RNA". It matches the Rfam family "Bacterial small subunit ribosomal RNA", at positions 339 to 795 of the family's 1533-position model. The record is from RNAcentral.
CUACGGGGCGCACCAGUGGGGAAUAUUGCACAAUGGGCGCAAGCCUGAUGCAGCCAUGCCGCGUGUAUGAAGAAGGCCUUCGGGUUGUAAAGUACUUUCAGCGGGGAGGAAGGGAGUAAAGUUAAUACAUUUGCUCAUUGACGUUACCCGCAGAAGAAGCACCGGCUAACUCCGUGCCAGCAGCCGCGGUAAUACGGAGGGUGCAAGCGUUAAUCGGAAUUACUGGGCGUAAAGCGCACGCAGGCGGUUUGUUAAGUCAGAUGUGAAAUCCCCGGGCUCAACCUGGGAACUGCAUCUGAUACUGGCAAGCUUGAGUCUCGUAGAGGGGGGUAGAAUUCCAGGUGUAGCGGUGAAAUGCGUAGAGAUCUGGAGGAAUACCGGUGGCGAAGGCGGCCCCCUGGACGAAGACUGACGCUCAGGUGCGAAAGCGUGGGGAGCAAACAGGAUUAGAUACCCCGGUAGUC